Molecule: ribosomal RNA, 380 nt
Filed under: uncultured bacterium
Lineage: Bacteria
Description: partial 16S ribosomal RNA
Rfam family: Bacterial small subunit ribosomal RNA
Source: RNAcentral
CCUACGGGCGGCAGCAGUGGGGAAUAUUGGGCAAUGGGCGCAAGCCUGACCCAGCAACGCCGCGUGAAGGAAGAAGGCUCUCGGGUUGUAAACUUCUUUUCUCAGGGACGAAGCAAGUGACGGUACAUGAGGAAUAAGCCUCGGCUAACUACGUGCCAGCAGCCGCGGUAAAACGUAGGUGGCAAGCGUUAUCCGGAUUUAAUGGGUGUAAAGGGAGAGUAGGUGGGGCUGCAAGUCAGAUGUGAAAACCACGGGCUCAACCUGUGGCCUGCAUUUGAAACGGUAAUUCGUGAGUACUGGAGAGGCAGACGGAAUGCGGGGUGUAGCGGUGAAAUGCGUAGAUAUAGCGCAGAACGCCGAUGGCGAAGGCAGCAUGCUGG